GAUGAACGCUGGCGGCGUGCCUAAUACAUGCAAGUCGAGCGAACAGAUGAGGAGCUUGCUCCUCUGACGUUAGCGGCGGCCGGGUGAGUAACACGUGGAUAACCUACCUAUAAGACUGGGAUAACUUCGGGAAACCGGAGCUAAUACCGGAUAAUAUAUUGAACCGCAUGGUUCAAUAGUGAAAGACGGUUUUGCUGUCACUUAUAGAUGGAUCCGCGCCGCAUUAGCUAGUUGGUAAGGUAACGGCUUACCAAGGCAACGAUGCGUAGCCGACCUGAGAGGGUGAUCGGCCACACUGGAACUGAGACACGGUCCAGACUCCUACGGUAGGCAGCAGUAGGGAAUCUUCCGCAGUGGGCGAAAGCCUGACGGAGCAACGCCGCGUGGGUGAUGAAGGUCUUCGGAUCGUAAAACUCUGUUAUUAGGGAAGAACAAAUGUGUAAGUAACUAUGCACGUCUUGACGGUACCUAAUCAGAAAGCCACGGCUAACUACGUG
This 497-nucleotide ribosomal RNA is filed under the name uncultured bacterium. RNAcentral describes it as "partial 16S ribosomal RNA". It matches the Rfam family "Bacterial small subunit ribosomal RNA", at positions 28 to 507 of the family's 1533-position model. The record is from RNAcentral.